This 369-nucleotide ribosomal RNA is filed under the name uncultured phototrophic eukaryote. Its description in RNAcentral is "SSU rRNA". It matches the Rfam family "Bacterial small subunit ribosomal RNA", at positions 524 to 896 of the family's 1533-position model. The record is from RNAcentral.
GACAGAGGAUGCAAGUGUUAUUCGGAUUGAUUGGGCGUAAAGCGUCUGUAGGCGGUUUAGAAAGUCUUUUGUGAAAUACUUCAGCUCAACUGGGGGGCCGCAAAAGAAACUUCUAGACUUGAGGAAAGUAGAGGUACAGGGAAUUUCCGGUGGAGCGGUGAAAUGCGUAGAUAUCGGAAGGAACACCAAUGGCGAAGGCACUGUACUGGGCUUUAACUGACGCUAAGAGACGAAAGCUAAAGGAGUGAUUAGGAUUAGAUACCCUAGUAAUUUUAGCCGUAAACGAUGGAAACUCACUGCCGAGCCGUAUGGGCGGUGAUCAAGCUAACGCGUGAAGUUUCCCGCCUGGGGAUUACGCAUGCAAAUGUG